RNAcentral lists this ribosomal RNA (246 nucleotides) under uncultured bacterium. RNAcentral's name for it is "partial 16S ribosomal RNA". It matches the Rfam family "Bacterial small subunit ribosomal RNA", at positions 531 to 776 of the family's 1533-position model. The record is from RNAcentral.
GGUGCAAACGUUGCUCGGAAUUACUGGGCGUAAAGCGCGUGUAGGUGGAUUGGUGUGUCAGAUGUGAAAUCCCUGGGCUCAACCCAGGAACUGCACCUGAAACUACCAGUCUUGAGUGGUGGAGAGGGAAGUGGAAUUCCUGGUGUAGAGGUGAAAUUCGUAGAUAUCAGGAGGAACACCAGUGGCGAAGGCGGCUUCCUGGACACCAACUGACGCUGAGACGCGAAAGCGUGGGGAGCAAACAGG